RNAcentral lists this non-coding RNA (215 nucleotides) under Dethiobacter alkaliphilus. Its description in RNAcentral is "T-box sequence". It matches the Rfam family "T-box leader". From Rfam's summary of the family: Uncharged tRNA acts as the effector for transcription antitermination of genes in the T-box leader family. T-boxes are found upstream of many aminoacyl-tRNA synthetase genes and some amino acid biosynthetic genes usually in Gram-positive bacteria. The anticodon of a specific tRNA base pairs to a specifier sequence within the T-box motif, and the NCCA acceptor tail of the tRNA base pairs to a conserved bulge in the T-box antiterminator hairpin. The record is from RNAcentral. Lineage: Bacteria; Bacillati; Bacillota; Dethiobacteria; Dethiobacterales; Dethiobacteraceae.
AUAAAGACCAUGAACGGGACGAGUAUGUAAAGUCCGGUGUGUAAGCGAGUCGGGGAUGGUGCAAGCCCGAUACACCCCUUUGCCGAAAAUCACCCGGGAGUUGCAGGUGAAUUAAGUAGCCGGCGCCGGCUUUGGCCGUUAUCAACUGAAGUGACCGCAGCGUUUUAUGUUGCGGUUAGCGGGGUGGUACCGCGGGAAAAACUCCCGUCCUCAUG